This 74-nucleotide transfer RNA is filed under the name Uromyces viciae-fabae. Its description in RNAcentral is "tRNA-Asn (GTT) (tRNA-Asn-GTT-2-1, tRNA-Asn-GTT-2-2)". It matches the Rfam family "tRNA". Rfam says of the family: Transfer RNA (tRNA) molecules are approximately 80 nucleotides in length. Their secondary structure includes four short double-helical elements and three loops (D, anti-codon, and T loops). The record is from RNAcentral. Lineage: Eukaryota; Fungi; Basidiomycota; Pucciniomycetes; Pucciniales; Pucciniaceae.
GUCUCCGUGGCGCAACUGGUUAGCGCGUCCGACUGUUAAUCGGGAGGUUGACAGUUCAAUCCUGUCCGGGGACG